This 325-nucleotide ribosomal RNA is filed under the name uncultured eukaryote. RNAcentral's name for it is "partial 18S ribosomal RNA". It matches the Rfam family "Eukaryotic small subunit ribosomal RNA", at positions 1470 to 1796 of the family's 1831-position model. The record is from RNAcentral.
CCCUUAGAUGUUCUGGGCCGCACGCGCGCUACACUGACUGGUGCAACAAGUGUCGCUCCUUGGCCGAUAGGCCUGGGCAAUCUUUGAACGCCAGUCGUGAUGGGGAUAGAUUCUUGCAAUUUUUGAUCUUCAACGAGGAAUUCCUAGUAAACGCGAGUCAUCAACUCGCAUUGAUUACGUCCCUGCCCUUUGUACACACCGCCCGUCGCACCUACCGAUUGAAUGGUCCGGUGAACCCUCCGGAGCGGCCCGCGCCAACGCAAGUUGAGCAAAGGCCGAGAAGUUGGGUAAACCUUACCAUUUAGAGGAAGGUGAAGUCGUAACA